GGACCACUUGGAGAAAAUGUAUGUGUUCUCUGCAAGUGAGAGAUGCCAAGAAUAUUGAUAUCUAAGAAAGCAAGAACUGAGGUCUCACUAAAGGGUGAUAAAGAGACUGACUGGUUAAAGGCUCAGAGCCAGAAGGGCACCCCCACAUUGGGAUCAGCCUUUACUCCAAAGUUUAUCACCAAACAGUGCUUGAUAAGUGUUUUAAAGACACAGUUGAGCUGGAGAAAAGUAAGGUCAGAAAAAGUGAAUGCCAGAACAGACAAGAAAGUGGGAAACAAGAGAGAUAAAGGAGUUCUUUGCCUUGAAAGUGGCUUUGGUCCUUAAUGCUUCAAAUGGGAGACCAGAGACCAAGUGGGAGGAUGGUCCAGAAACCACUUUUUCCAUCUGGUUAGGAGGGGGUGGUGAAGACUGUGACAAACUAGAAAGAGUAUGUCCUAAUUGGAUAGUCAGCAUUUAGCUUUAGUUUAUUAUUCCCAUGUGUCAGUUUGAGGCUGACAUUAACAAAAGCUUACCAUUUUCCAAAAGAAGACCCAGAAACCAGAAGAUACAGAAACCUGGACUUUUGGAUAUUUUUCGUAGUUUUUAUUUGUUGGUAAAUCAUGCAGAUCUUUUCUUAGAAGUGAGUUGUCUAUCAGAUAAAAACAUCAAAGGGCUCAAUUUAAUUCAUACUAUUAAUGUUUUACUGAUGAGGUAAGUGCUAGUAGUAAGAGGUACAUAUGUACAAUAGAAAAAAGAGAGAGAAUAUUAUCAUCAGAGAGUGGUGAGAAGAUUAUGAAUAUUGCAAAUGAAUGAAUUUGCAGUAUGGUAAAAAGGAAAGAUUUUUGAAGGACAAAAACUAAAUCAUGCCAUCAACAGUAAGCACAGUGCUUCAGCAAGACAUAAAGAAGUGUUAAGGGCAGAAUGGAUAACCUCCUAAGUGUGGCUUGAGAAUCAGCAUCCAUGCUGGAAGCCCGCUAGCUUAAUAUUCACUGAGGAGAAGGAUCAAUGUUUGUUAAAGCCCUAAAGACAAAGCAAGGUGAAAAUGCUAUUGCUGCGCGUUUUAGUGCAGCUCUUGAAUGUGCAAUGGUUCAAGGCCUAUUGAUCCCUGCACAUCACCAAAGGAGUAAUGAUGAGGCCAACAGACACUGGGGCAUUCUGGGGCUGCCCUGGAGAGCAUCAGUUGUGUGGGUGAGGAGAGGAGAAGAUUAUCGGCUUUUGCUAAUUUUUAAUGCAGAUGAAACUGAUCUAACUGUUCUAUUUUAGGAAACGUUAUCUGAGAGAAUAACCAUCAAUUAGGUAGAAAUUUGAUCCCCGUUUUAAAACUGCGAAGAGACUGCGAAGGGCCAAAUCAAACUAUA
This 1337-nucleotide long non-coding RNA is filed under the name Pan troglodytes (chimpanzee). RNAcentral's name for it is "long non-coding RNA NONPTRT000287". The record is from RNAcentral. Lineage: Eukaryota; Metazoa; Chordata; Mammalia; Primates; Hominidae.